RNAcentral lists this long non-coding RNA (2676 nucleotides) under Homo sapiens (human). RNAcentral describes it as "HSALNT0163581". Lineage: Eukaryota; Metazoa; Chordata; Mammalia; Primates; Hominidae. The record is from RNAcentral.
GAGGCUAUUCUUCAAGAAUGGAAUUAUUUAUUAGUGUAACUUUCUGGGGAGAUUUCCACAGAUGGCUAAUAGAUAUGUGAAUUCUUGCUACUCUGAACUUCAGCAGGUAACGUGCUUUAAUUUUGUUCACAGAUUCUUAGAUUAAAUAUGGUUUUUGAAUUCUGAUGUUCUCCAUGUAUUUACUGAAUAAUCUAUUGCUUUCUUAAAAAAAAGAAGAAAGAAAGAGAAAGAGGGAAAGAAAUAAAGAGAGAGAAAGAAAGAAAGAAAGAAAGAAAGAAAGAAAGAAAGAAAGAAAGAAAGAAAGAAAGAAAGAGAAAGAAAGAAAGAGAAAGAAAGAAAACUAAUUAGGCCAUGAAGGCUCCUCCAUCAUUAAGGGGGUUAAGGCUCUUAUGAAAGAGGCUUCAUGCAGCAUCCAGCUAGCUUGCUUGCUUGUUCCCUGCCCUCCUGCUGUGUGAGGAAACAAGAGAUCAGCACUCACCAGACAACCAAAUCUGCAAGCACUUUGAUCUUCGACUUCUCAGUUUCCAGAACUGUGAGAAAAUAAAUUUCUGUUCUUUUUGAAUUACGCAGUCUCAGGUAUUUUGUUGUAGCAGCACAAACAGACUAAGACAUUAUCUUUGAUGACAAAGACUCAGAUAAUUCAGCAAUCUAUUCUAAGCUCAUAAUAACAGUUUGCAAAUGACCAGUUAGAAAACUGUGCCCAUGUGUUUGCAGUGGAAUUUGACAUGUCUGAGGCUGUGAAAUUAUGGCUAAAGGAAUUAUGGUAUAAAAAUCUUGGCUUAAUUAUAGCCAUAGAAAACAUAACAAUGGUGACAAGAAUUUCUUAGUAAAGGUAGGAAAAAAUGUGUUUUCUUUUAAGAAAGGAGGGAAUUUGAAGAUGACCUCCUUGCUAGCAUGUCACACUGAAUAACAAAAACAGAGUGCAUCAUCUGUAUUUUUAAAAUUUAUUCAGCAUUUAUUAAACUAAAAAUAAAAGAACACUAUUACAGACUCAGGCGGUGUGAUAGCAGUGAAUAACAUAAAUUCAAUCCCUGAAGUCAUGAAACAUUCUGAACAGUGGGAGGAGAAUCAAUUCAUAAAGAAAAAUUAAUAAUAAAUAUGAGUUCAUGCUAUAAAAAAAAGCAAGAAAAUAUGGCUAGAAUUACAUAUAGAGUAGACGUGUAGUUUGGGAGGAUUAUAUUCUGGUCAUUAUUGAUUUUCUUUUACCAUAUCCAACAUUCCUUGCCCCUUGCUGCAGAACAGAACUCCCAUUUGUCUUUGGGAAAACAAGUUCAUUUCUACCCUCAGUCUAUGAGUUUCAGAUAAUGUUUACUGCACCCCCAACACACACAGAGACAAUUACAAGUUCUCAUCUCCACCUCUGGGGUGGAUAUGUAAUCUCGCAUAUCUAAUCAGAGCAAUACAAACCUUGGCCCAAGUGAUUAGAUUGAUUGGAUAAAUAAGUGGCACAUGAUCCAAGCUGAGCCAAUGAGAACCUUCUUUGAGACUUUUUUGGAACUAUUGGGAAAGAUACACUCUCUCCUUCUGAGAUCUCUGCUGUUAGGACCAUGUAAGUAGAAGCUACUAGGGGUCACCUUUGUAAAUAACAGAGAAAACCUACCUGAAAAUGACGCAAAAGUAGAAGUAUAAUUGAGAGAUGAAAGACACUGAGCUUACUCUGUUUCCUGAAAACAUGCAUCUAGCCAAGACUAAGCUAUCUGAAAACUUGAAAAUAUGACUUUUGUGUUAUGUGAGCUAGCUAAUUUCCAAUGCUAUGCAAGUUAAUUUAAGACUUACCUUUUUUGUCCCAUAUACAUGAAAAAGUUUUUAUUAAUUUGGCAAUUAACAGUGGCUGGGCAUUUACUGCAUUCUAGGCCCAGCGAUAGCUAACACUGUGUGCUGUUACAAGAGUUAUCACAUUUAAUCCUUAUCCUUUUUUAAAAAAAAAUUUUGGAGAUAACAAGUGUGAAGUUUAGAGAUCUCACAUAGCUUGGCCAGGCUCACAGCUUGCAAAUGGGAAAGCUGCAAUUAAACUCUGAAGACUAUGCUCUUCAACAAAACACAACACUGCUUCUCUGUUCAGGCAGCUAACAGCACUUGCUGCCUUAUACCUCAGCAAACUCUGCCUAAGCCCCUAAAGCCCCAGGCUACUGGCCUGGAAAUGGUUCAAACAAUAAUAUAGCCAAGAGAAGUCUAGAACCCUUGAACGCUAGGUCUUCUCUGCCAAUUUCUGCCUAGAAUAAAAUCAAAAGGACAAUAUAUCCAAUGCCCUAGAUAACCACAGCUACUAAGACCCAUUUACAUAGGAUGCAUUCUUUAUAUUUAGCACUCCCUAAAGCAUAUCUUAAAUUCUACAGGCAGCCCAGGAUCUUGUUUAUGCAGAAGGGAUAGGAGAAAAUAGAAAAAAUCUUCAAAAAUAUUUUCUCUAUAUACUUCUAGGAGACCAUGUAAUAUACUUUAGAAUAAAUGUGUGUGUCUGUAUAUACAUACAUACUUAUAUACUGUAUAUAUACAAUUACAUAUACAUGAAUAAACAUAACUUCACUAUAUACACAUAUACAUUAUGCAUAUUUAUAUAGACAUAUGUAAUGUACAUGUAUAUAUUUGUAUAUUUGAACAUUUAUGCAUAUAAAAUACAUUUUCUAGAAUGAGCUAACAAUUAACAAAAUAAGACUAUCCUAGUUUAAAUGGAAAAUG